This is a long non-coding RNA of Alligator mississippiensis (American alligator), 2356 nucleotides long. RefSeq lists it as uncharacterized. Lineage: Eukaryota; Metazoa; Chordata; Crocodylia; Alligatoridae. The record is from RefSeq and is a predicted model, not a curated record. The transcript is spliced from 3 exons.
GUGGGGGGGGGGGGGGAGGAAGGGAGGAGAUUAUUAAGGAGAGUAACCCCUUAGGCCAAUGGUUGUCUUAGAUGCCUGAACCUGUGUAAGAGAUCUGCCCAAGCAUGCAGCAGGCUGGUGAGCCUGAUGCCCAGAAUCUCACAACAGACAUGGAGGAUUAGAGACAAGAGGGGUGCCACAUUCUGGACCCUGAGUGGAGAGAUGUCUACAAGGGAGUGGAGACACUGGUGAGAGGAUUGAACCAUGGAUAUGGGACUCUUACAGGGGUUGGUGAGCAGUGGUGGGGGUAGGAAAUAACAAUGAGGUAAUAAGCUAACAACUUGCCCCCAUAGCUGUAGCCAAUCAGAAUGGAUUUCAGGGGUGUUGGACCUCUCUACAAGCAGUGCUGAACCAACUGAAGCAAGUAUAGGGAUGGGACCUAGACUGAUAGUCUCAGUCACAUUGGUGGGGUCUCAGAAAUGUCAUGAAUGAGAUUCAGGUUGAUUGAGACAAAUUCCUGGGUUCUGAAAACAGGCCCUGUGACCAUAAGAAAACCCCAUCAACCUGUGUCAGAGCUGUCAGCGGUGAGCAUGGAAGUGCUGGACAAUCCUGGCCUAAGGUAGGUGAUACCUUUAUAAAGAGCUUUCAAAAACUGCACAUCAGUAGACCUGUGAGAACUAAGGUCUUUUGACUGAACUGGUUUUGUUCAUAUCUGAAAAAGAGGAGUUCAAGACAAGGCUGAAGAUUACACUUCCUUGCUUCCAUGGAUUGCUGUCUUCAUAAUUUCCAGACUGCUAUGAGGACAUUUGCACCCUGCACAAGCCAGCGAGAAGAUGUUUUAAAAGGAGCAAGGCUGUUAUUUCAGAUGUGGAUGCACAAUUGCAGUUAGUUUUGGUGGAUAUGUAACAGUUCUCCAAAAACAACAGUGGAUUUAAGUACAUCUUAACAGUGAUAGACAUAGUAUCAAAGCAUGCCUAGGCCAUGGGCCUAAAAGACAGGUCAGCAGGUGAAAUAUGCCAGGUCUUUAAAACCACUUUAAUGGAGGGCCAUGUACCUCAAGAAUUACAGACUAAUCAGGGAAAAUAAUUUUAAAAUAAACCUUAAUUCAAACUGUAAAAGCAGUAUAAUAUCCACCAUUUUGUUAUGAAUGAUGAAGUUGUGGUGGUAGAGCACUUUAACAGAACAUUAAAAUCAAAGAUGUGGAGGUAUUUUACAGCCUGCAACACCUUUUGCCAUAUUGAUGCACUUCCAGAGUUUAUAAAGAGCUAUAGCUAGAGCUUUCACAGAACUAAGUGCCAGACCUGUUGACUAGCACUCCAUAAGCUCUCCACAGGUGUGGAAAAGAGUAUGUAGCAAAACCCCCAGUUUUUCUUCUUUUUUUUUCUUUUAAAAUGAAUUCCCUCCCCUUCCCCAACCAUUUCUGACUUUUUCUCUCCCUCUCUAUUCCCUAUAGAUAAGUAUAAGUGAGCUAAGACAGGAUAAGCUUCAGCAUUUUAUUUUGGUAGCAAGCUGUAUUUGUUUUGUUUUUUCUCCUUCUUUACAUUGUAUAAUUAUUAUGUUUUAUAUUGAUUUUUACUGUUCUAUAUUACUAUUUUACUGCUACUAUAUGAUUUAGGCCUACAUAUGUCAGUUAGCAUAAGUCAUGUCAAGUUUCCAUUUUGUUUGUCAAGUCUCCAUCUUUUCCCCAUGCCUUGUUGUGUAACCCAUGGCUCAUACCUACCCCUCCUAUGUAACUUGGUUCCUGAAUGAAUGGGGAUGAAUCAAGUUGCUUGAGAGACAAUGGCAGUAGGUCUAAAAAUAGCUCCCUCUGAAUGACCGAACCAUCAAAACCAAUACCAGGACCAACGACCCAGCCCUUGGAACCUCCCUCAGCAUUCAAGAAACUAAAGAUGAGGCAACCCACCAUUGUGCCAGGCUGCACAUGAUCAGUAAGAACACUUGGAGCCCUCUGGGACAGGACUGACCUUCCCUGGACAGGCACUCCCCAUAUGAGAUCUGAGGUAGUUUGCCCCAUAAAAGGGGUAGUGAAGACUGACUCCUUGGGAUGCCCUCCCCAUCUGGACCAGCACCACGCCACACCACCUAUCCACCCAGAGGCCCUGCCAGCGACCCCGCUCUGGGCAACACCUACUGGACAAGGACCCCUUUCAAGCCUGGAUAGGUAGCUAUCACCCCCACCCCCUCUUCAACCAAGGACUUGGACUCUGUUUCUCUUCCCUACCUGGACUCCAACCCUUCCACUGAGUCUCUUUUUCCUGCCGCCAUUGUGAGUGCUUGUGUGUGUGUGAACCAAUAACUUCAUGGGGCUGUGUAGUGUGUUGUCUGUUCAAUAAAACUGUUAUUUGGACCCCUGAGUUGGGUUUUGCUAUGGUUUGGC